AUUGAACGCUAGCGGGAUGCUUUACACAUGCAAGUCGAACGAGUGGCGGACGGGUGAGUAAUGUCUGGGAAACUGCCUGAUGGAGGGGGAUAACUACUGGAAACGGUAGCUAAUACCGCAUACCAUCGGAUGUGCCCAGAUGGGAUUAGCUUGUUGGUGGGGUAACGGCUCACCAGGGCGACGAUCCCUAGCUGGUCUGCGAGGAUGACAAGCCACACUGGAGCUGAGACACGGUCCAGACUCCUACGGGAGGCAGCAGGGGGGAAUAUUGCACAAUGGGCGAAAGCCUGAUGCAGCCAUGCCGCGUGUAUGAAGAAGGCCUUCGGGUUGUAAAGUACUUUCAGCGGGGAGGCGUUACCCGCAGAAGAAGCACCGGCUAACUCCGUGCCAGCAGCCGCGGUAAUAC
RNAcentral lists this ribosomal RNA (406 nucleotides) under uncultured bacterium. Its description in RNAcentral is "partial 16S ribosomal RNA". It matches the Rfam family "Bacterial small subunit ribosomal RNA", at positions 30 to 526 of the family's 1533-position model. The record is from RNAcentral.